GCUGGGUGUGGCGGCACACAUCUGUAGUCCCAGCUACUCGGGAGGCUGAGGUGGGAGGCUUACAUGAGUCCAGGAGUUUGAGGCUGCAGUGAGCUAUGAUCAAGCCACUGCACUCUAGUCUGGGCGACAGAGUGAGACCCUGUCUCUA
Molecule: unclassified non-coding RNA, 148 nt
Organism: Pongo abelii (Sumatran orangutan)
Lineage: Eukaryota; Metazoa; Chordata; Mammalia; Primates; Hominidae
Rfam family: Metazoan signal recognition particle RNA
About the family: The signal recognition particle (SRP) is a universally conserved ribonucleoprotein.
Source: Ensembl